CGACCACCAUUUCUCUUGGUUGGGAUUUGGGAACCUACUCCUCUCCGACGAAAUCCAGUUGUACGGAUCUCUCUCUCUCCUUGCAUCUCCUGGACUUUUCGUUAGAUUCAAACUUGCUUAUCUCAAUUCUCAAAUUCAAAAAUGGGGAAAAUGAUUUCUUAACCCAAGAGACCCAAUUGUAAGUACUAAACAGAGAAUGUGACCCCGGACGGUGAAGGAGCUGAUGAGGACGGAGAUGGACGUCGAUGUUGGAAGGGAAACGAGCCAUGGCUUCCUAUUAUUAUUGCUGCUUCUAACGUUAUUGUUGCAUCUGUUGCAAUAGGAGUAGCUUGAAAUUAGGGUUUGUUCUUGAAUAAAGACGACGGAUUUUGGGGCUAAGCAACUUGAUUUUCUGUUAAUAUAUUUCAAUCUAUUUUUAAUGUAUCACGCUGCAUUUUCAUGUAUUUCAUUGUACUCAUUAUAUUUUGUUUCAUUGUAAUUUAAUGUAUCUCGUUGUAUUUCAUGUAUUUCAUUGUACUUACUAUUUUUUUCUUGUUGUAUUUCAACGUAUCCCG
This 554-nucleotide long non-coding RNA is filed under the name Nicotiana benthamiana. RNAcentral describes it as "long non-coding RNA (NBEN_LNC029688)". Lineage: Eukaryota; Viridiplantae; Streptophyta; Magnoliopsida; Solanales; Solanaceae. The record is from RNAcentral.